GUCCAUCGCUUUGGCGGAGCAGCGAGCAAGUGAGACCUCCUGCUUCUUUUAAUGCCGUUGCAUUGAUAAUGCCCAUUUUUGUCCUCAUUUUUUUCUGUUUACGAGGAAUGGGGUGGCACGACUGGUGACGUCAAGCAACAUUGCAUCUCAACAUCACUUCCUAUUACUGAAUUGCAAAACAAACAAUAAAGACAAGGAAAAUUGUUUCAUGGGGGCUUGACCUCAUGUGUUCCAUUUGAAAACAAUGGAAACUAAUGCUCCAAAUGUUUUUUUACUAAAAUUUUUAUUAUUUUUAUUAUUUUUUCAUGUUCAUGAUUUCCCCUGUUAGAGAUUACGUGUUUUUAAAAAUCAAGUUUAGAACGUCAUCUCAAAAAUAAAUUUAUUAAUGAGCCCACAUUUAUGCAUAUGUAAAGUUGGCCACAGAAACUGAGUCUUAAAGAAAAAACAAAAAAAAUGAGAAACCUUUUUUUUUUUCUCCUAUUUCUAAGAAGGCUAAAUGGCUGACUUUACCCUUCGACCAAUAAAUUCAGUAAUUUUACCAUAAGGUCUGAAUCAGUGUAGGAAAAAUCGAACCGGAGUGGUGAACUGACAUGGAGUCAAAAGCAGUUCGCCUGGCCUAACUAGUGAACUUGCCAGUUCAACCUACCUAAUAAGUCCCAAACGGUCAAAAAAUGUUAAAAGAAUAAAAAAUAUAUAAAAAAAAAAAAAUAGAAUAUGAAAAAUAUAUUUAAAGCAUCUUUAAACAAAGCACAUCCAAAUGAAGUUGAAAAUUAAUGAAAAAAUAGAUUUUAAAGAAUCAAUUAUAACUAGAGAUAUUUUUGAAAUUUUCUAAAAAAAAAUGAAAAAAUGUAAAAAUAUGUAAUAAUAGCCAAAACAAUUUCCAAUAUUUUCCAAAAUGAUGAAAAACAUUAAAAAAUGUAUUACAAACAAAAUCUCUUUUUGUUUUGAGAUUUUUAAUAAGAUUGUUUGAAUUUUUUUUAAAAUACCAACCGAUUCACCAAAACUGGCCACCAACCGGGGGGCAGUUAUGAAUUGAACUGCUUGAUUUUUCCUAUAAUGGUCUAUGCAUCCUCUAUCGGAAUUAGGGCAAGCCCUAACAUCGCCCUGGUCUUGUAGGUCUGCGUCAAAAGGGUUGGAUAGGGCUAGCUUGGGUGGCCCUCGGGACCACAUUUCGUGGCCCACAACGUAGCUUUUUAAUAUCUAGGUUGCCUAGCCCAUUAUCAACAUUAGUUUAUGUUAGAAACUAUAUUUCUAUGUAUUUGGGCCUUAAGCCCCCAUCGAAGAUUAGACAUCCUAAUCCUAUCAAGAGAUAUAUACCCAUACAUAUGCAUAUUCAUACUGAUAUGAAUCAGUACGAUCCAUAUCCAUACGUUAACACCCUCCCUCAAACUCAAGAUGCUUUGACACAAAGCAUCUAGAGUUUGAACAAUAAGUUGUAUAAACGAAUGAGUUGGAUCUUCAGGUCUUCAGGUUAGUUACAUAAACGAACGAGUUGGAUCUUUAGGUCUUCAGGUCUUCAGCUCAUCGCGUGACCGAUUAAAACAGUGGUCACCAUGUUCAAAUUGCUUGAACAACGGCAAACCUCAAGAGCAUAGGGCCUCAAGAACAUCCUGGAUCAAGUAACAAAAGUUCAAUCAACAGCAGACAAACCGGCAUUCGAAACAUACUAGAUCGAGUAACUGAAAACUCAAUCAUCAAACGAGAUCCAAUAACGAAAAACUCAAUCAUCAGAUGGGAUCAAGUAACGAAAAAUUCUAUCAUUAGACAGGAUCGAGUAACAAAAAACCUGAUCAUCAGACAGGAUCGAGUAAACUCGAUCAUCACACAUGAUGGAGUAACAGAAAACUUCAUCAUCUAAUGGGAUUGAGUAAUGAAAAACUCAAUCAUUAAACAUAAUCAAGUAAGGAAAAAGUUUAUUAUCAACUAGGAUCUAGAACUUCGAUCAUCAAAUUUGAGACACUUGAAAGAGCCAAUAGAAAUAAGCAGAUCAACAAGCACAGUUGGACCUUAAAUUCGAAGUUAAGAACAGUAAGAUCCAAAAUAGAUAUGACAUCAUAGGGUAGCAUGUCACUAAUGGUUUAUCUUUUUGAUGCCAGAUGAACAUAGAGGUGCAAUCAGAUUCAACUGUCACAUGUACUUAUAUUUGCACUUACUCCAAAGGUCUGUCAUGUAAAUAUUGGUGCACCGUCACUUUUGCAAAGAGGGUAAUAAAAAGUUCUUCCAACAAAAUCAUUUCAAAGUGCGUGACUUUUACGAGUAGUAUUCAACCACUAAAAAAGGCAAGGGAAGGGAACCUAUAGACUAUUCAAGAGAUAUUGCACUGAUUAGAAAGAAAAGCAAGGGAAUGAGUAAAGAACAAUUUUUAGAGAGAAAAAU
RNAcentral lists this long non-coding RNA (2376 nucleotides) under Amborella trichopoda. RNAcentral describes it as "long non-coding RNA (ATRI_LNC000509)". The record is from RNAcentral. Lineage: Eukaryota; Viridiplantae; Streptophyta; Magnoliopsida; Amborellales; Amborellaceae.